Molecule: ribosomal RNA, 356 nt
Filed under: uncultured bacterium
Lineage: Bacteria
Description: partial 16S ribosomal RNA
Rfam family: Bacterial small subunit ribosomal RNA
Source: RNAcentral
CCUACGGGUGGCAGCAGUGGGGAAUAUUGGGCAAUGGGCGCAAGCCUGACCCAGCAACGCCGCGUGAAGGAAGAAGGUUUUCGGGUUGUAAACUUCUUUUCUCAGGGACGAAGAAAGCGACGGUACCUGAGGAAUAAGCCACGGCUAACUACGUGCCAGCAGCCGCGGUAAUACGUAGGGGGCAAGCGUUAUCCGGAUUUAUGGGGUGUAAAGGGCGUGUAGGCGGGAGAGCAAGUCAGAUGUGAAAACUUAGGGCUCAACCCUGGGCCUGCAUUUGAAACUGUGUUUCUUGAGUGCUGGAGAGGCAAGCGGAAUUCCGUGUGUAGCGGUGAAAUGCGUAGAUAUACAGAGGAACA